UACGUAGGUGGCAAGCGUUGUCCGGAUUUACUGGGCGUAAAGGAUGCGUAGGCGGACAUUUAAGUCAGAUGUGAAAUACCCGAGCUUAACUUGGGUGCUGCAUUUGAAACUGGGUGUCUAGAGUGCAGGAGAGGUAAGUGGAAUUCCUAGUGUAGCGGUGAAAUGCGUAGAGACUAGGAAGAACACCAGUGGCGAAGGCGACUUACUGGACUGUAACUGACGCUGAGGCAUGAAAGCGUGGGGAGCAAACAGG
This 253-nucleotide ribosomal RNA is filed under the name uncultured bacterium. RNAcentral describes it as "partial 16S ribosomal RNA". It matches the Rfam family "Bacterial small subunit ribosomal RNA", at positions 524 to 776 of the family's 1533-position model. The record is from RNAcentral.